GUGAGCGGCGGACGGGUUAGUAACGCGUGGGAACAUACCCUUUUCUACGGAAUAGCCUCGGGAAACUGAGAGUAAUACCGUAUAAGCCCUUCGGGGGAAAGAUUUAUCGGGAAAGGAUUGGCCCGCGUUAGAUUAGAUAGUUGGUGGGGUAAUGGCCUACCAAGUCUACGAUCUAUAGCUGGUUUUAGAGGAUGAUCAGCAACACUGGGACUGAGACACGGCCCAGACUCCUACGGGAGGCAGCAGUGGGGAAUCUUAGACAAUGGGCGCAAGCCUGAUCUAGCCAUGCCGCGUGUGUGAUGAAGGUCUUAGGAUCGUAAAGCACUUUCGCCAGGGAUGAUAAUGACAGUACCUGGUAAAGAAACCCCGGCUAACUCCGUGCCAGCAGCCGCGGUAAUACGGAGGGGGUUAGCGUUGUUCGGAAUUACUGGGCGUAAAGCGUACGUAGGCGGAUUGGAAAGUUGGGGGUGAAAUCCCAGGGCUCAACCCUGGAACUGCCUCCAAAACUAUC
Molecule: ribosomal RNA, 511 nt
Filed under: uncultured bacterium
Lineage: Bacteria
Description: bacterial SSU rRNA
Rfam family: Bacterial small subunit ribosomal RNA
Source: RNAcentral